GAUGAACGCUAGCGGCAGGCUUAACACAUGCAAGUCGAGGGGUAUAGUUCUUCGGAACUAGAGACCGGCGCACGGGUGCGUAACGCGUAUGUAACCUACCUUAUACUGGGGAAUAACUUCGAGAAAUCGGCGCUAAUACCCCAUAACACUGCGGAGAGGCAUCUCUUUGCAGUUAAGGCUCCGGCGGUAUAAGAUGGGCAUGCGUCCAAUUAGCUAGUUGGUGAGGUAACGGCUCACCAAGGCUACGAUUGGUAGGGGUUCUGAGAGGAUGAUCAGCCACACUGGGACUGAGACACGGCCCAGACUCCUACGGGAGGCAGCAGUGGGGAAUAUUGGACAAUGGGCGAAAGCCUGAUCCAGCAAUGCCGCGUGAGUGAUGAAGGCCUUAGGGUUGUAAAGCUCUUUUACCAGGGGUGAUAAUGACAGUACCUGGAGAAUAAGCUCCGGCUAACUCCGUGCCAGCCGCCGCCGUAA
RNAcentral lists this ribosomal RNA (474 nucleotides) under uncultured bacterium. RNAcentral describes it as "partial 16S ribosomal RNA". It matches the Rfam family "Bacterial small subunit ribosomal RNA", at positions 28 to 523 of the family's 1533-position model. The record is from RNAcentral.